Molecule: long non-coding RNA, 1261 nt
Organism: Prosopis cineraria
Lineage: Eukaryota; Viridiplantae; Streptophyta; Magnoliopsida; Fabales; Fabaceae
Exons: 5
Source: RefSeq, a predicted model, not a curated record
UCUUUUUUCUAUUUCUUAAUUCUUUUACCGAAACAGAAAAGGGUGUUGUCGGUCUCCUCUUUCUAUUUCAAUUCAGAAACUUCGCUUUGGGCAGCAAACAUAUCAAACGAGCACAAGUUUUCUCGUUUAAUUUGGAAAGGACACUUUAUGCUUGGUUCAAUUAAGCCCAACCCGAAUAAGCUGGAUCUGCCCAAAUCAACGGCUCCACUGUUAAGCUCUCAGUUCCGUGUGAUUUUGAGAUUUUCAUCUUCUCUCCCAGAGCUCUAUGAAUUUUCAAGUCCAGGAAACUAAUAGGAGAUGGUUUGAACACAUGCUCCUUACAAGCACUGCAAGAGAUAGAGCAGCAAGUGCUAAAGAGUGUCAGAAAUGUUCGAGCAAGAAACGUGAAGUUAAUGUACACAAUUUCAUGACAAAGCCCUAAAAGCAGAAAACGCAAGGCUUUCUAAGAAGAUCUGGUGCAGAACUCGUGAACUGUUUCCAGAGUGUAUGUUUGGACUAAGGAAUUAAAAGGAGAUGGAAAGCAAAGUUCGUAUAGAUGUUGAUUAUUUGAUUUAGAACCAUUCAUUUCAAUCUAAAUUACGAAAAAGAGCAUGAAGUUUUUACUGCAUAUUGUAACAUGAUUGCAUUUGAAUGAAAGAGACGAUAUUGAUUUUGGUGUGCUGUAUCGUAUAUGAAGGCAAAUCAAGAAAGACAGAAUCAGAGUAAAAAUAUUUCAUCUUUAGAUAUGGAGACUGAUCUGUUCAUCAGACUUCCAAAAAUUACAGGAUUAUGAAAUCAAUUAUGACAUCUUGUAUACAGAUCACAAUUGUUCCAGAAACAAUGUUGAAGAUUACGAAGCAAGAAGUAUAAUAAGCAUGACUUGUCAUUGUACAAGUUAUCUUCCAUGAUUUUUGGCCGUUGUUCGUACUUGUUUUGUUCUUUUGAUUUCUAGUUGCAUGAAUAAUCUAAGCAACCUUGAUUUUGCACCAUAUAUGACCCCAUAACCUGACAUUAUUUAAUGAACAUGCCUUUGGAUCAGCACAUGCAAGCUAAGCAUCAAAUUUUGGCGAUUAAUUACUUGAGGCAAUUAAUCUGAUGAAUCCAUUUUUUGAGAUAAUUUUCAUAGUGAUUUGAGAGUUGGUUGUUUGUGUGUGUGUGUGUAGAGUUCAUUGUGGAUAUUAAUAUUCAUGUGGUUUUGAAAUAGCUAGGUGCUUUUGGGCGUGAUUUUAACAUUAAUCGAGUCUCUUUUAUGCGAAGAAACUUAAGGGGCAAAACUCUGUUU